CAAGUCAGGGGGCGGGGUAACCCGUCACCGGCGAACGGGUGCGUAACACGUGAGCGACCUGCCCUGGUGUGGGGGAUAGCCGGCCCAACGGCCGGGUAAUACCGCAUACGGCACCCGCGAGGCAUCUCGGGGGUGCGAAACUAUUUAGGCGCCAGGAGGGGCUCGCGGCCUAUCAGCUAGUUGGCGAGGUAACGGCUCACCAAGGCGAUGACGGGUAGCUGGUCUGAGAGGAUGGCCAGCCACAUUGGGACUGAGAGACGGCCCAGACUCCUACGGGAGGCAGCAGUGGGGAAUCUUGCGCAAUGGCCGAAAGGCUGACGCAGCGACGCCGCGUGGGGGAUGAAGGUCUUCGGAUUGUAAACCCCUGUUGCCCGGGACGAACACCCCUUUUCGAGGGGGCUGACGGUACCGGGUGAGGAAGCACCGGCUAACUCUGUGCCAGCAGCCGCGGUAAUACAGAGGGUGCGAGCGUUGUCCGGAAUCACUGGGCGUAAAGGGCGCGUAGGCGGUCUCUUAAGCGUGUGGUGAAAGCCCGGGGCUCAACUCCGGGCCGGCCGUGCGAACUGGGGGACUGGAGCUUGUCAGAGGCAGGCGGAAUUCCGGGUGUAGCGGUGGAAUGCGUAGAGAUCCGGAAGAACACCGGUGGCGAAGGCGGCCUGCUGGGACAGUGCUGACGCUGAGGCGCGACAGCGUGGGGAGCAAACAGGAUUAGAUACCCUGGUAGUCCACGCCGUAAACGAUGGGCACUAGGUGCUUGGGGGAGCGACCCCCUGAGUGCCGGCGCUAACGCAUUAAGUGCCCCGCCUGGGGA
This 811-nucleotide ribosomal RNA is filed under the name uncultured Gemmatimonadota bacterium. RNAcentral's name for it is "bacterial SSU rRNA". It matches the Rfam family "Bacterial small subunit ribosomal RNA", at positions 58 to 879 of the family's 1533-position model. The record is from RNAcentral. Lineage: Bacteria; Pseudomonadati; Gemmatimonadota.